GUGCCUAACACAUGCAAGUCGAGGGGCAUCAGGAUUAAAGCUUGCUUUCUUUGCUGGCGACCGGCGCACGGGUGAGUAACACGUAUCCAACCUGCCCUUUACUCGGGGAUAGCCUUUCGAAAGAAAGAUUAAUACCCGAUAGCAUAAUGAUUCCGCAUGGUUUCAUUAUUAAAGGAUUCCGGUAAAGGAUGGGGAUGCGUUCCAUUAGGUUGUUGGUGAGGUAACGGCUCACCAAGCCUUCGAUGGAUAGGGGUUCUGAGAGGAAGGUCCCCCACAUUGGAACUGAGACACGGUCCAAACUCCUACGGGAGGCAGCAGUGAGGAAUAUUGGUCAAUGGGCGCUAGCCUGAACCAGCCAAGUAGCGUGAAGGAUGAAGGCUCUAUGGGUCGUAAACUUCUUUUAUAUAAGAAUAAAGUGCAGUAUGUAUACUGUUUUGUAUGUAUUAUAUGAAUAAGGAUCGGCUAACUCCGUGCCAGCAGCCGCGGUAAUACGGAGGAUCCGAGCGUUAUCCGGAUUUAUUGGGUUUAAAGGGAGCGUAGGUGGACUGGUAAGUCAGUUGUGAAAGUUUGCGGCUCAACCGUAAAAUUGCAGUUGAUACUGUCAAUCUUGAGUACAGUAGAGGUGGGCGGAAUUCGUGGUGUAGCGGUGAAAUGCUUAGAUAUCACGAAGAACUCCGAUUGCGAAGGCAGCUCACUGGACUGCAACUGACACUGAUGCUCGAAAGUGUGGGUAUCAAACAGGAUUAGAUACCCUGGUAGUCCACACAGUAAACGAUGAAUACUCGCUGUUUGCGAUAUACAGUAAGCGGCCAAGCGAAAGCAUUAAGUAUUCCACCUGGGGAGUACGCCGGCAACGGUGAAACUCAAAGGAAUUGACGGGGGCCCGCACAAGCGGAGGAACAUGUGGUUUAAUUCGAUGAUACGCGAGGAACCUUACCCGGGCUUAAAUUGCAGUGGAAUGAUGUGGAAACAUGUCAGUGAGCAAUCACCGCUGUGAAGGUGCUGCAUGGUUGUCGUCAGCUCGUGCCGUGAGGUGUCGGCUUAAGUGCCAUAACGAGCGCAACCCUUAUCUUUAGUUACUAACAGGUUAUGCUGAGGACUCUGGAGAGACUGCCGUCGUAAGAUGUGAGGAAGGUGGGGAUGACGUCAAAUCAGCACGGCCCUUACGUCCGGGGCUACACACGUGUUACAAUGGGGGGUACAGAAGGCAGCUACCUGGUGACAGGAUGCUAAUCCCAAAAGCCUCUCUCAGUUCGGAUCGAAGUCUGCAACCCGACUUCGUGAAGCUGGAUUCGCUAGUAAUCGCGCAUCAGCCACGGCGCGGUGAAUACGUUCCCGGGCCUUGUACACACCGCCCGUCAAGCCAUGGGAGCCGGGGGUACCUGAAGUACGUAACCGCAAGGAUCGUCCUAGGGUAAAACUGGUGACUGGGGCUAAGUCAU
RNAcentral lists this ribosomal RNA (1442 nucleotides) under uncultured organism. Its description in RNAcentral is "SSU rRNA". It matches the Rfam family "Bacterial small subunit ribosomal RNA". The record is from RNAcentral.